WAAACGACUCUCGGCAACGGAUAUCUCGGCUCUCGCAUCGAUGAAGAACGUAGCGAAAUGCGAUACUUGGUGUGAAUUGCAGAAUCCCGUGAACCAUCGAGUCUUUGAACGCAAGUUGCGCCCCAAGCCAUUAGGCUGAGGGCACGUCUGCCUGGGUGUCACGC
RNAcentral lists this ribosomal RNA (164 nucleotides) under Eremalche rotundifolia. RNAcentral's name for it is "5.8S ribosomal RNA". It matches the Rfam family "5.8S ribosomal RNA". From Rfam's summary of the family: 5.8S ribosomal RNA (5.8S rRNA) is a component of the large subunit of the eukaryotic ribosome. It is transcribed by RNA polymerase I as part of the 45S precursor that also contains 18S and 28S rRNA. Functionally, it is thought that 5.8S rRNA may be involved in ribosome translocation. The record is from RNAcentral. Lineage: Eukaryota; Viridiplantae; Streptophyta; Magnoliopsida; Malvales; Malvaceae.